AAAGUACUCCUUCCGUGCCAAAAUUCUUGUCUUAGAUUUGUCUAGAUACGGAUGUAUCAAGUCACAUUUUAGUAUUAGAUACAUCCGUAUCUAGACAAAUCUAAGACAAGAAAUUUGGGACAGAGGGAGUACUUG
Non-coding RNA from Triticum aestivum (bread wheat), 135 nucleotides. Lineage: Eukaryota; Viridiplantae; Streptophyta; Magnoliopsida; Poales; Poaceae. The record is from Rfam.